This 2098-nucleotide small RNA is filed under the name Pongo abelii (Sumatran orangutan). RNAcentral's name for it is "processed transcript". Lineage: Eukaryota; Metazoa; Chordata; Mammalia; Primates; Hominidae. The record is from RNAcentral.
ACAGAACUUUAAUAGCAUUUUCAGUUAACAGAAGUGCAAGGAGCUCUUGUUGAACCUGUGUUCCACGAGGAAGGCUUUCAUUAGCCCUUCAUGAUAGGUUCAAACACUUGAAGACCUGAGGAAUUUCAGAGUUGACAUUUAGAUAUUGAGGUAACAGGACAUCUUGGAGUUGAAAUUUCCAGAAUCUUUGCUGGAAAGUCUCAUAAUCUCAAAGCAAAAUCAAGCAAAUUUGGAGCAAAGUUGCUGAAAAUGUCAAGGCAUGAAAUCCAAGGUAAAAAGAUGGCCUAUCAGAAGGUCCAUGCAGAUCAAAGAGCUCCAGGACACUCACAGUACUUAGACAAUGAUGACCUUCAAGCCACUGCCCUUGACUUAGAGUGGGACAUGGAGAAGGAACUAGAGGAGUCUGGUUUUGACCAAUUCCAGCUAGACAGUGCUGAGAAUCAGAACCUAGGGCAUUCAGAGACUGUAGACCUCAAUCUUGAUUCCAUUCAACCAGCAACUUCACCCAAAGGAAGGUUCCAGAGACUUCAAGAAGAAUCUGACUACAUUACCCAUUAUACACGAUCUGCACCAAAGAGCAAUCGCUGCAACUUUUGCCACCUCUUAAAAAUACUUUGCACAGCCACCAUUUUAUUUAUUUUUGGGAUUUUGAUAGGUUAUUAUGUACAUACAAAUUGCCCUUCAGAUGCUCCAUCUUCAGGAACAGUUGAUCCUCAGUUAUAUCAAGAGAUUCUCAAGACAAUCCAGGCAGAAGAUAUUAAGAAGUCUUUCAGAAAUUUGGUACAACUAUAUAAAAAUGAAGAUGACACGGAAAUUUCAAAGAAGAUUAAGACUCAGUGGACCUCUUUGGGCCUAGAAGAUGUACAGUUUGUAAAUUACUCUGUGCUGCUUAAUCUGCCAGGCCCUUCUCCCAGCACCGUGACUCUGAGCAGCAGUGGGCAAUGCUUUCAUCCUAAUGGCCAGCCUUGCAGUGAAGAAGCCAGAAAAGACAGCAACCAAGACCUGCUCUAUUCAUAUGCAGCCUAUUCUGCCAAAGGAACUCUCAAGGCUGAAGUCAUCGAUGUGAGUUAUGGAAUGGCAGAUGAUUUAAAAAGGAUUAGGAAAAUAAAAAAUGUAACAAAUCAGAUCGCCCUCCUGAAAUUAGGAAAAUUGCCACUGCUUUAUAAGCUUUCCUCAUUGGAAAAGGCUGGAUUUGGAGGUGUUCUUCUGUAUAUUGAUCCUUGUGAUUUGCCAAAGACUGUGAAUCCUAGCCAUGAUACCUUCAUGGUGUCACUGAAUCCAGGAGGAGACCCUUCUACGCCUGGUUACCCAAGUGUCGAUGGAAGUUUUAGACAAAGCCGAUCAAACCUCACCUCUCUGUUAGUGCAGCCCAUCUCUGCAUCCCUCGUUGCAAAACUGAUCUCUUCGCCAAAAGCUAGAACCAAAAAUGAUGCCUGUAGCCCUCUAGAGCUUCCAAAUAAUGAAGUAAGAGUCAUCAGCAUGCAAGUUCAGACAGUCACAAAAUUGAAAACAGUUACUAAUGUUGUUGGAUAUGUAAUGGGCUUGACAUCUCCAGACCGGUAUAUCAUAGUUGGCAGCCAUCAUCACACCGCACACAGUUAUAAUGGACAAGAAUGGGCCAGUAGUACCGCAAUAAUCACAGCGUUUAUCCGUGCCUUGAUGUCAAAAGUUAAGAGAGGGUGGAGACCAGACCGAACUAUCGUUUUCUGUUCUUGGGGAGGAACGGCUUUUGGCAAUAUUGGCUCAUAUGAAUGGGGAGAGGAUUUCAAGAAGGUUCUUCAGAAAAAUGUUGUGGCUUAUAUUAGCCUCCACAGUCCCAUAAGGGGGAACUCUAGUCUGUAUCCUGUAGCAUCACCGUCUCUUCAGCAACUGGUAGUAGAGAAAAAUAAUUUCAACUGUACCAGAAGAGCUCAGUGCCCAGAAACCAAUAUCAGUUCUAUACAGAUACAAGGUGAUGCUGAUUAUUUCAUCAACCAUCUUGGAGUUCCCAUCGUGCAGUUUGCUUAUGAGGACAUCAAAACAUUAGAGGCUGAAUAGGCUGGGCGCGGUGGCUCAUGCCUGUAAUCCCUGCCCUUUGUGAGGCCGAGGCAGGAGGAUC